This 2457-nucleotide long non-coding RNA is filed under the name Nicotiana benthamiana. Its description in RNAcentral is "long non-coding RNA (NBEN_LNC019612)". The record is from RNAcentral. Lineage: Eukaryota; Viridiplantae; Streptophyta; Magnoliopsida; Solanales; Solanaceae.
UUCGUUCUUCUCAGUAUAUUCCACUUUCUUCAUUUUGGAACGUUAAAAAUUAUUUGAGAUUAUUUUAUUAAUAAUACUUCUCAUGUACAAGCUGCAAAAAUUUUAAACAUUCUGUAAUGAUCUGGCCGGUUAUUUUGAGCAUUUACACUUCGCUCGAUAGUAUGAGGGUAUGAAUAGCUUCGUAUGGUGUAUUAUGACUUUUGUGAAUCUUUGGUUUGGUUUUCAGGUUAUUCGGAAUCGAUUUGGAAGAAUGAAUUUCAUGAUUGAAGCUUCAAGUUAGAAGAGUUGACCAAGUUUGACUUUUUAACAUUUGACAUCGGAUUGGAGUUUUGAUGGUUCUGUUAGGUCCGGAUGGUGAUUUUGGACUAGGACGGAUGCCCGAACUUGCAUUUGGAUAUUUCUAGAAGGUUUCGUCACGAAUUGGCAAAAGUUGAACAUUUGAAGGUUUGGAAAGUUCAUAAGUUUGACGAGAGUUGAUUUUGAGGAUAUCGUAUUCGGAUUGUGGGUAACUUUGUUUUGUCAUUUAGGACUUCUUUGCAAAAUUUGAGUUCAUUCCUAAUUUAUUUGAUGUGUUUCAACAUGAGUUUUGGAAGUUGAAAGUUCAAAAGUUUGUUAAUUUUGACUUGAGGUGUGAUUCGUGGGUUCGAUAUCGUUAUGCAUGAUUUGAAUAAUCGAGUAUGUUUGUGUUAUGUUAUAGGACUUGUUGAUAUAAUUUGGCAAGGUCUCGAUGGCUUAGAAGAGUUUCGGACGAGGUUCGAAUCGUUUGGAUCAAUUUUGGAUAAGGUUGCUGGUGGCAGAAUAUAGUGUGAUCGCACAUGCGGCUGGUUUGCGUAGUCGCAGAAACGACAAAGCUGUCGCAGAAACAAGGUGAGAUUUGGGUGAGGAAGUUCCUAGAAGAGGAGAAUUUGGCGCAGGUGCGGAUGCACAGGUGCGAUGAAUUUGAAGCGCAGGUGCGAAGGUCUUCGCGGAAGCGGGGUUUGUCACCGCAGGUGCGAAAGUUGCUGGGACAGGCUGUUUUUGCAAAAGAGAAGCUUUUCACUGCAGAAUUGGAGGUCUCAAGUGUGACAUACUGUCCGUAAAUAUUGAAAACGCUGGGCAGAAUGCUUUAAGUUUUGGCCAUUUUUAUCACAUAUUGAGCAAUAGAUUUCAGAAGGGAGCGAUUUUGGAGGCAAAUUUCAUCAAAAGGAUUGUGGUAAGUGUUCUAUACUCGGUUUUGGUUAUAUUUUUGAAUCUAUCUUCAAUUUUGACGUGUGGAUUAUGAUUUUUAAAGAGAAAAUUGGAGUUUUUGCCUAAAGUUUCAUCGAGCGAAUUCUUGAAUUUUACACACUGAUUUGGAGUCGGAUUUGAAUGAAACUAGUAUGGUUGGACUCGUAAUUGAAUGGUUUGUCGGAGUAUGUGAGUUCUGUCGGGUUCCGAGGUGCAAGACCAAGUUUGACUCUUGGGUUGAUUUUGGAAUUUUGAUUAAAAAGAUACGACUUUUACUGAUUUGGUUUGUUCCCUUUGGUAUUAUUUGAUGUAUUUGAGUUGCUUUUGGCUAGUUUCGAGCCGUUCGGAGGUCGGUAUGCGCAGGAUGACAUUUUGGAGCAUCAUUUGUCCUGCUCAGUAUUGGAUUUGGCUUGUUCGAGGUAAGUAAGACUUCUAAACUUGGUGAUGAGGGCAUGAAUCACGAAUACGUAUUAUAUGUUUGGUGUUGAGGUGGCACACAUACUAAGUGACGGGUGUAUGGGCGUGCACCAUAUAGAUUGUGACUCCAUUAUUUCUGUGGUAUUGUGUAGUUACAUGAUCUUAUCUGUAACCAUAAAAUCUCUACGUACUAGAGCUAUUGAGUUGUGAUCCAUGUUAUAAACCAUGUCUAGGCUACAUAUUUAUUCUAUUGGGACUGACUGAGGUUAUUUCUACUGUUGAGUUAUUAGCUUAUAUUGCAAUUACAAACUCAGUCAUACGAAUUCAUGUGCAUAUCAUAUCUCAGUCUCUGUUACCAUUUAUUGAUACAUUACAUUAUUAUUUUUGGGCUAAUUUUCAUGACAUUAUGAGCCCGAGAGACUGAAGAGAUUGAUGAUUGAGCGAGGUGGAGGGCCUGAUUGUAAGGAUAUUGAUGGGAUCGGGCUGCACACUGCAGCUAGUAUUAUUGAUUUUAAUUGGAGCGGGUUGUACGCUGCAGCAGAUGCUAUUGAUUUACGCCAAGAUUAGCUUAUUAUAGCGUUUGUGCUGAAGGAUCCCCUCCGAAGUCUGCACACCCACAAUGAGCGCAGGUACCUAUUGAGUGCAAGUGCGAGUGCCGAGAGCGAGUGCUGAGUGACUGAAAGGACUGAGUGACUCGGAGGACCGAGUGAAUUAAUACUCUGAGAGCAUGCAUAUGGUUUAUCCCUGAGUUGCAUCGCAUUCGACACGCAUACUUGACACACAGGCAUAUAGAUGCAUUUUCCUCAUGAUGUACGGUAUCACGUCAUCCAUGAC